This 72-nucleotide transfer RNA is filed under the name Bos taurus (domestic cattle). It matches the Rfam family "tRNA". Rfam says of the family: Transfer RNA (tRNA) molecules are approximately 80 nucleotides in length. Their secondary structure includes four short double-helical elements and three loops (D, anti-codon, and T loops). The record is from Rfam by way of RNAcentral. Lineage: Eukaryota; Metazoa; Chordata; Mammalia; Artiodactyla; Bovidae.
UCCCUGGUAGCUCAGACGGUAAAGCGUCUGCCUGCAAUGCAGGAGACCUGGGUUCAAUCCUUGGGUGAGGAA